GACGAACGCUGGCGGCGUGCUUAACACUUGCAAGUCGAACGGAAAGGCCUGCUAUCCCUUGUGGAUUGCGGGUACUCGAGUGGCGAACGGGUGAGUAACACGUGAGUGAUCUGCCCCCAACUUGGGUAUAAGCCUGGGAAACUGGGUCUAAUUCCCGAUAGGACUGCAGGGUGGUGCCUGUGGUGGAAAACGAUUUUCUAGUGGUUGUGGAUGAGCUCGCGGCCUAUCAGCUUGUUGGUGGGGUAAUGGCCUACCAAGGCGGCGACGGGUAGCCGGCGUGAGAGGGUGGACGGCCACAUUGGGACUGAGAUACGGCCCAGACUCCUACGGGAGGCAGCAGUGGGGAAUAUUGCACAAUGGGCGGAAGCCUGAUGCAGCGACGCCGCGUGGGGGAUGACGGCCUUCGGGUUGUAAACUCCUUGCGACCGCGAGGAAGCCACCUGGUUGGAAGGGUGGUGACGGUAGUGGUAGAAGAAGCACCGGCUAACUACGUG
RNAcentral lists this ribosomal RNA (494 nucleotides) under uncultured bacterium. RNAcentral's name for it is "partial 16S ribosomal RNA". It matches the Rfam family "Bacterial small subunit ribosomal RNA", at positions 28 to 507 of the family's 1533-position model. The record is from RNAcentral.